UGAAGUUUUCGGAUGGAAUCACUUAGUGGCGAACGGGUGAGUAACACGUGAGCACCUGCCUUUCAGUGGGGGACAACAUUUGGAAACGAAUGCUAAUACCGCAUAAGGUCGCAUGGCCAAAAUUUAUCCGCUGAAAGAUGGGCUCGCGUCCGAUUAGCUAGUUGGUGGGGUAACGGCCUACCAAGGCGACGAUCAGUAGCCGACCUGAGAGGGUGACCGGCCACAUUGGGACUGAGACACGGCCCAAACUCCUACGGGAGGCAGCAGUGGGGAAUAUUGCACAAUGGGGGAAACCCUGAUGCAGCGACGCCGCGUGAGCGAUGAAGUAUUUCGGUAUGUAAAGCUCUAUCAGCAGGGAAGAAAAUGACGGUACCUGACUAAGAAGCCCCGGCUAACUACGUGCCAGCAGCCGCGGUAAUACGUAGGGGGCAAGCGUUAUCCGGAUUUACUGGGUGUAAAGGGAGCGUAGACGGCAUGGCAAGCCAGAUGUGAAAGCCCGGGGCUCAACCCCGGGACUGCGUUUGGAACUGUCAGGCUAGAGUGUCGGAGAGGAAAGCGGAAUUCCUAGUGUAGCGGUGAAAUGCGUAGAUAUUAGGAGGAACACCAGUGGCGAAGGCGGCUUUCUGGACGAUGACUGACGUUGAGGCUCGAAAGCGUGGGGAGCAAACAGGAUUAGAUACCCUGGUAGU
This 689-nucleotide ribosomal RNA is filed under the name uncultured bacterium. RNAcentral's name for it is "bacterial SSU rRNA". It matches the Rfam family "Bacterial small subunit ribosomal RNA", at positions 69 to 794 of the family's 1533-position model. The record is from RNAcentral.